This 107-nucleotide ribosomal RNA is filed under the name Candidatus Zambryskibacteria bacterium RIFCSPHIGHO2_01_FULL_43_60. The record is from RNAcentral. RNAcentral also lists the same sequence under 2 other names. Lineage: Bacteria; Candidatus Zambryskiibacteriota.
CUUGGUGGCUCGACGCGAGUGAUACACCCGUUCUCAUUCCGAACACGGAAGUUAAGCCUCGUAGUGCCGAUGAUACUCCUAUGGGGGAAAGUAGGUAGCCGCCAGAA